UUCUCACUUGUGUGUUUUCAUUUGGCUCUUUGUUCUGUGAUUUGCAUGUGUCGUCAGGACUCUGCAGCUCAGAGGAGGAGACAGAAAAUGCAGAACAGUCGGACUCUGCAGCCGUGAGGUCCAGACGGUAUCAUCAUCAUCAUCAUCAUCAUCUGAACGUCUGUGCUGCCAAAAGCCCCGCCAGCUUGAAGAAACUUUAAAGCCCUGUCCACGCUCUCAUGGGAGGAGGAGGAGAAGAGGAGGAGAUUAAGGUCACAUCAGUUCUUCAAGCAAAGCAACAGGAAAUCCUGUGUGAUCAGAUGACAAGGUGUCCAGUUUCCAGAAGGUGAGAUCUACCCCCCACCCACGCCGCCCCCAUUGGUCUGCCAUGUCAUUGCAUAAUAAUCCCCUUUGAGAGCACACAAUGCCCUGUGGUCAUUUUGUCACAGACACUGAGUCACACCUAUGAGGGAUAUACCAGGACAAUGGACAUUUAUGUCUCUGUUUCAUGUGGUCUGUGUGACUAUACAAUGUUGACUCUUUACCGAAGCACGCUCAAGGUGAUCAUUAAAUCUGAGCUGGUUGCCAAAAAUAAACACCGGCUCAGGCAAACUCUCAAAUCACUUCCUCGUAAGCACUGGUUUAGUGAUUUAAAACAAACAAGACGUCGACAACAACAAGUUGAAAAGCCUUUGAGAUGCUUAGGCUACAUAGAAGCACUGUUUUAUCAGCUUCUCGGAGAUUAUAUGUCAAUAAAGAGAGAUCAUUUGGAAGUAUAUAACAACAGAGAAAGAUAUCUGGUGAUUAGACUCUAUCAAUGUGACGCAUCUUCAUUAAGCGUAAACCCAUAUGAAGAUAGGAGAUGGUGAUAGGUGAUAGGGAGGAGCUGGGUUUCACAAUAGUAGGUCUGAAAGGCAGAAUUGCAAUGAUACUUAAAAAUGGGCAACAUUUUACUCAUAGAGGAAUAAAGCUUCCUUAUUGAAGCUUUGCCAAAGCUUCACUUCAAUGUAAAGCAACAUGAAACAACACCUAUAUGUAACCUCGACAUGUGAAAGACACCUCGUGUGUGUGUGGUUUCUUGUCUUUCCUCCUUCUGUGUAUGUUAAUGUUGUGAUGUGAGUUUCCCCUACGUGUGUGUGUGUGUGUGUCUAGCCUGUCCCCUUUCCAAG
Molecule: long non-coding RNA, 1148 nt
Organism: Thunnus maccoyii (southern bluefin tuna)
Lineage: Eukaryota; Metazoa; Chordata; Actinopteri; Scombriformes; Scombridae
Exons: 4
Source: RefSeq, a predicted model, not a curated record